Molecule: transfer RNA, 73 nt
Filed under: Aspergillus sclerotiicarbonarius CBS 121057
Lineage: Eukaryota; Fungi; Ascomycota; Eurotiomycetes; Eurotiales; Aspergillaceae
Description: Aspergillus sclerotiicarbonarius (strain CBS 121057 / IBT 28362) tRNA
Rfam family: tRNA
About the family: Transfer RNA (tRNA) molecules are approximately 80 nucleotides in length. Their secondary structure includes four short double-helical elements and three loops (D, anti-codon, and T loops). Further hydrogen bonds mediate the characteristic L-shaped molecular structure. tRNAs have two regions of fundamental functional importance: the anti-codon, which is responsible for specific mRNA codon recognition, and the 3' end, to which the tRNAs corresponding amino acid is attached (by aminoacyl-tRNA synthetases). tRNAs cope with the degeneracy of the genetic code in two manners: having more than one tRNA (with a specific anti-codon) for a particular amino acid; and 'wobble' base-pairing, i.e. permitting non-standard base-pairing at the 3rd anti-codon position.
Source: Rfam by way of RNAcentral
GCUCGACUGGCCUAGCGGUUAUGGCGUCUGUUUUACACACAGAAGGUCCUCGGUUCGAUCCCGAGGUUGAGCA